Molecule: long non-coding RNA, 701 nt
Organism: Lates calcarifer (barramundi perch)
Lineage: Eukaryota; Metazoa; Chordata; Actinopteri; Centropomidae
Exons: 4
Source: RefSeq, a predicted model, not a curated record
GAGGAGGGAAUAAACCUCACAAGUUAUCACAACUAUAAACUCCUGUUUACCAUGGAAACCAUGGUUACCAUACAUGAGUGUUUGACAACACUUUGUAUUGUCAAACAAACAGAGAGUUGGUUCAUAGCUGAUUUGGAUUUGAGGGGGAAAAGGGCAGCGAGCUAAAAAUCACCUAGGUAACAACCGAACUAGACCAAUUUAGCCAAUGUGCUCGAGUUUCGUCAGACACGAGGAAACAGCGCCCCCUGUGUAGUAACGGCUGGCUAACCACCUCCGGUCUGUGUGGUCGAAAAAGGAAGUUGGGCCUCCGCGUGGAAAAUGAAGCCUGUCGCGCUCCGACCACUUCACAAACAGACAACAGCGACGGAGAGAGGAGAGGAGGACUUCUGCCAACAAACAAUUACUGACCAGGCAGCAGGUGUGGCUGAACGUUACAAAUGACGGACACUUCAUCUCCAUGGGAGAAAGGAGAGAAGACUUCGACGACAAAUCCUUGUUGGUAGAGUGACUAGCAGCGAUGGAGAGAGGAGAGGAGGACUUCUGCCAACAAACAAUUACUGACCAGGCAGCAGGUGUGGCUGGACGUUACAAAUGACGGACACUUCAUCUCCAUGGGAGAAAGGAGAGAAGACUUCGACGACAAAUGGCACCUCGCUUUGGAGGUUUUCCUGGCACGUUCAACCGGGAGGAGGAGGAGGAGG